GUCUUCUUGAUAGAAUAAGAAGUCUGACCUGCCCAGUGAAAUAUUUUAACGGCCGCGGUAUAUUGACCGUGCAAAGGUAGCAUAAUCAUUAGUCUUUUAAUAGAGGGCUGGAAUGAAGGGUUUAACGAAGUACUUACUGUCUCAUUUAAUUUGAUAUUAAAAUUUACUUUUUCAGUCAAAAAGCUGAAAUAUUAUUGGAAGACGAGAAGACCCUAUAGAGCUUUAUAUUUAAUUAUCUAAUAAAUUUUUGGAUUAAUUAUUAUUUAUUAUUUAAUAAAAUAUUUUGUUGGGGUGACAAAAAUAUAUAAUUAACUUUUUUAUUUAUAUAACAUUGAUAUAUGAAAAUUAGAUCCAGUUUUACUGAUUAUUAGAAUAAGUUACCUUAGGGAUAACAGCGUAAUCUUCCUUUAGAGUUCAUAUUCACAGGGAGGCUUGCGACCUCGAUGUUGGAUUAAGAUUAUAAUUAGGUGUAGCCGCUUAAAAAAUAGGUCUGUUCGACCUUUAAAUUCUU
Molecule: ribosomal RNA, 511 nt
Filed under: Anotogaster sieboldii
Lineage: Eukaryota; Metazoa; Arthropoda; Insecta; Odonata; Cordulegastridae
Description: partial 16S rRNA
Rfam family: Bacterial large subunit ribosomal RNA
Source: RNAcentral